This 765-nucleotide ribosomal RNA is filed under the name Klebsiella sp. HPC870. Its description in RNAcentral is "bacterial SSU rRNA". It matches the Rfam family "Bacterial small subunit ribosomal RNA", at positions 64 to 820 of the family's 1533-position model. Lineage: Bacteria; Pseudomonadati; Pseudomonadota; Gammaproteobacteria; Enterobacterales; Enterobacteriaceae. The record is from RNAcentral.
ANNUUAUGACUCAUUGGCUCCCGGGAGUGUUUAUACGGGGGACNGNUGAGUUUUGUCUGGGAAACUGCCUGAUGGAGGGGGAUAACUACUGGAAACGGUAGCUAAUACCGCAUAACGUCGCAAGACCAAAGUGGGGGACCUUCGGGCCUCAUGCCAUCAGAUGUGCCCAGAUGGGAUUAGCUAGUAGGUGGGGUAACGGCUCACCUAGGCGACGAUCCCUAGCUGGUCUGAGAGGAUGACCAGCCACACUGGAACUGAGACACGGUCCAGACUCCUACGGGAGGCAGCAGUGGGGAAUAUUGCACAAUGGGCGCAAGCCUGAUGCAGCCAUGCCGCGUGUNUGAAGAAGGCCUUCGGGUUGUAAAGUACUUUCAGCGGGGAGGAAGGCGAUAAGGUUAAUAACCUUGUCGAUUGACGUUACCCGCAAAANAAGCACCGGCUAACUCCGUGCCAGCAGCCGCGGUAAUACGGAGGGUGCAAGCGUUAAUCGGAAUUACUGGGCGUAAAGCGCACGCAGGCGGUCUGUCAAGUCGGAUGUGAAAUCCCCGGGCUCAACCUGGGAACUGCAUUCNAAACUGGCAGGCUAGAGUCUUGUAGAGGGGGGUAGAAUUCCAGGUGUAGCGGUGAAAUGCGUAAAGAUCUGGAGGAAUACCGGUGGCGAAGGCGGCCCCCUGGACAAANACUGACCCUCAGGUGCCAAAGCGUGGGGAGCAAACAGGGAUUAAAUACCCUGGNUANNCCCCCCCCUAAACNAUNUCNAUUUUG